UACGGAGGAUGCGAGCGUUAUCCGGAUUUAUUGGGUUUAAAGGGUGCGUAGGCGGACGCUUAAGUCAGCGGUAAAAUUGCGGGGCUCAACCUCGUUGAGCCGUUGAAACUGGGUGCCUUGAGUGGGCGAGAAGUACGCGGAAUGCGUGGUGUAGCGGUGAAAUGCAUAGAUAUCACGCAGAACUCCGAUUGCGAAGGCAGCGUACCGGCGCCCUACUGACGCUGAAGCACGAAGGCGUGGGUAUCGAACAGG
RNAcentral lists this ribosomal RNA (252 nucleotides) under uncultured bacterium. Its description in RNAcentral is "partial 16S ribosomal RNA". It matches the Rfam family "Bacterial small subunit ribosomal RNA", at positions 524 to 776 of the family's 1533-position model. The record is from RNAcentral.